UGUCGUAACAAGUUUCCGUAGGUGAACCUGCGGAAGGAUCAUU
RNAcentral lists this ribosomal RNA (43 nucleotides) under Amphimerus sp. JM-2019. Its description in RNAcentral is "partial 18S ribosomal RNA". The record is from RNAcentral. Lineage: Eukaryota; Metazoa; Platyhelminthes; Trematoda; Opisthorchiida; Opisthorchiidae.